RNAcentral lists this ribosomal RNA (400 nucleotides) under uncultured bacterium. Its description in RNAcentral is "bacterial SSU rRNA". It matches the Rfam family "Bacterial small subunit ribosomal RNA", at positions 356 to 773 of the family's 1533-position model. The record is from RNAcentral.
GGGGAAUAUUGGACAAUGGGGGCAACCCUGAUCCAGCCAUGCCGCGUGAGUGAAGAAGGCCCUAGGGUCGUAAAGCUCUUUCGCCGGGGAAGAUAAUGACUGUACCCGGUAAAGAAACCCCGGCUAACUCCGUGCCAGCAGCCGCGGUAAUACGGAGGGGGUUAGCGUUGUUCGGACUUACUGGGCGUAAAGGGCACGUAGGCGGAUCUGCAAGUUGGGGGUGAAAUCCCGGGGCUCAACCCCGGAAUUGCCCUCAAGACUGCGGGUCUCGAGUUCGAGAGAGGUGAGUGGAAUUCCGAGUGUAGAGGUGAAAUUCGUAGAUAUUCGGAGGAACACCAGUGGCGAAGGCGGCUCACUGGCUCGAUACUGACGCUGAGGUGCGAAAGCGUGGGGAGCAAAC